Heterocephalus glaber (naked mole-rat) is the source of this 309-nucleotide non-coding RNA. NCBI's taxonomy places the organism in Eukaryota, Metazoa, Chordata, Mammalia, Rodentia, Bathyergidae. The record is from Rfam.
GUAUGUGAGGGCAAUCUGGCUGCAACAUCUGUCACCCCAUUGAUCUUCAGCGUUGAUUCGGUUGGUCUGGCUGGCUGGGCAGGUGUCCCCUUCCUCCUUCACCCCUCCAUGUACGUUCUCCUGAAAUUGUGUACUAGGUCGAAGAGGACGACCACCCUAGAGAGAAGAGGACCCUUUCCUCAGUCAAGGGUAUACGAGUAGCUGCGCUCCCCUGCUAGAACCUUCAAACAAGCUCUCUCAAAAUCAAAAAAUUAAAAUAGUUUGGGGAUAUAGCUCAAUGCAAAGGCCCCCUCCCCACCCCCUGCCAGG